Molecule: long non-coding RNA, 698 nt
Organism: Procambarus clarkii (red swamp crayfish)
Lineage: Eukaryota; Metazoa; Arthropoda; Malacostraca; Decapoda; Cambaridae
Source: RefSeq, a predicted model, not a curated record
GAUGGUGGUCCUUACUCCCCACCUGCGUCACCACCUGGAAGCGGCUGCUUGGGAAGAACACGUAGGAGCCGAUGGCCACGAAGCUCCCGUCCUCGCUGCGAACCCAAGACACCUAGAUGAAGGGUUGCUGCUGCUGGUGGCAAGUUGUUCGCCUCAAGUACCAGCUUUGUGGACGAUAUACUUGAAGCAGCUGGAGUAGCAGUAAAUACCAACGAACGUCAGAGGAAGCUAAACGAAUAUCAGACGGUUCAUUGAACACCAGAGGACGCCCACAGACACCACCACAUACAAAUAAACGCCACGACACACCCCUAGACAGAAACGACAGUUGACGGCACCGAGAGACAGGUGCGAGCACGAGAAAACUCCAGCGGACACUGACGGAGUACCGCAGGGGAAACACGCCCACUAUUCCCAGCCUAUCCACCACCACAGAAUAUCAACCUUUACCCUCAUUCCAACCAACUUUCGCUUUGGGAAUCGAGCAAACUCCCCCUACAAUGCUCACCUGGUCCGGCCAACUACAGCCAGCCAGGAGAAGGCAAAGUGUUCAGUCGUUGUAAUGAACAUGUAUAACAACGGAAUUAAUAGGGCACUGCCCAUCACCACUGGUCUUCUGAUCUAAGAAUCAAUGCAAGGCGUCAUGAGAAAGGGCUCUAGAUUCAAUUUAAAUUGAACUAUUAAAUUGCUACCUCAGA